Molecule: ribosomal RNA, 491 nt
Filed under: uncultured bacterium
Lineage: Bacteria
Description: partial 16S ribosomal RNA
Rfam family: Bacterial small subunit ribosomal RNA
Source: RNAcentral
AGUGAACGCUGGCGGUAGGCCUAACACAUGCCAGUCGAACGGCAGCACAGUAAGAGCUUGCUCUUACGGGUGGCGAGUGGCGGACGGGUGAGGAAUACAUCGGAAUCUACUUUUUCGCGGGGGAUAACGUAGGGAAACUUACGCUAAUACCGCAUACGACCUACGGGUGAAAGCAGGGGAUCUUCGGACCUUGCGCGAUUGAAUGCGCCGAUGUCGGAUUAGCUAGUUGGCGGGGUAAAGGCCCACCAAGGCGACGAUCCGUAGCUGGUCUGAGAGGAUGAUCAGCCACACUGGAACUGAGACACGGUCCAGACACCUACGGGAGGCAGCAGUGGGGAAUAUGGGACAAGGGGCGCAAGCCUGAUCCAGCCAUACCGCGUGGGUGAAGAAGGCCUUCGGGUUGUAAAGCCCUUUUGUUGGGAAAGAAAAGCAGCAGGUUAAUACCCCGCUGUUCUGACGGUACCCAAAGAAUAAGCACCGGCUAACUUCGU